UACGGAGGAUGCAAGCGUUAUCCGGAAUGAUUGGGCGUAAAGCGUCCGCAGGUGGUUGUGUGUGUCUAUUGUCAAAGCAUCAUGCUUAACAUGAUAAAGGCAGUAGAAACUACACGACUAGAGUGCGUUCGGGGCAGAGGGAAUUCCUGGUGUAGCGGUGAAAUGCGUAGAGAUCAGGAAGAACACCGGUGGCGAAAGCGCUCUGCUAGGCCGCAACUGACACUGAGGGACGAAAGCUAGGGGAGCAAACCGG
Molecule: ribosomal RNA, 253 nt
Filed under: uncultured bacterium
Lineage: Bacteria
Description: partial 16S ribosomal RNA
Rfam family: Bacterial small subunit ribosomal RNA
Source: RNAcentral